CCACGAGCAGUUUUUUUUAUUCCCACGCAACUUCCUCUCUUUCCCAUCCCGACCGGCUAGGGUUCCGCCGGCGCCAUCCCUUCUCGUCCAGCGCUGGCCAACAGAGAAGGCGGGCGCGCGGAGGGGAUUCAACCUCGACCACGUCUGCGGCAACGGCGAGGGCCUCCGCUCGCAGGUCUCCGUCUCGCUGCUCGUCCGGGAGGCUGCACGGAGGGGAUUCGCUGUGAGCGAGGUGCCGUGGAUCGGCAAGCGAGCGCUCGGGACGAGGACCUUUUCUUCUUCUCCGGCCUCUUGGCAGUUGGGAUCCUCUGUCUUCUCGCCGUGGCUAGGGUUGCCGCCGUCGCCGCCCUCCCCAUCCUGACUCCUCUAGCGCCGGCCUCGACCCGCUUGGCGAUAAGGCACUGGUACUUCAGCUCCUAUGUCAUCCAUGAUUGACAGUGAUCAGAUGCCAACAAUGCAUGGGAGUGGAUGUCAUCACCCAGUGACGUGUCUCUUUGCCGAUUAUGGUUGGACCCUUUGCUGUUCGCGAAACCCAUAAUUCAUCCCAUAGUUCUUCCUCAACAUUGGUUGGGGGCGGGAUGGACCUACACAUCCGUCAAGCAUCAGGCAAACCUCCUGGGCGAGGCUUCCUUGUACAACAGAAAGCACAUCUGUGUGCCCUCCAGAUUCUCUUGUAGCACCUCCUGCUGCUUGCCCUUGCACGGUAGCAAGCCUAGCAGGUAGCAUCAACACAGGAAGGUGAGGUUGCCAGCGGCCGGUGGGUGGCUGCUCCAGCAAGAAACUAGCAGAGCCUAUCAUGUGGCAACAUGACUUAAGGUGGAGGCACACUGUAUUUUUUACUAUUACAUGAAAUUCCACUAACACCUGCAUCUGUUCUCUGUUCUUUGUUAUUUUUGUUUGUAAUCCUUCUGGUUCUGCUAAUUAGCCCCUUCAUGUUUUUCUUCAACUAUGGUUGUUCUUGUCAGGGUAUAUGGCUUUGCUUGAGAAGCCCACACAGAGCCAACAGUCGAGUCUGGGAUAUUCAAAGCACUUGAAAGAGCAAACUACUCGAUAGAAGUAGGAAAGAUUAAUGAUAUUCUGGGUGUGGAAGAACCAACAAUGGAGUUUCUGCUACUGGACAGGUAACUGCAUAUGCGUAGGUGCCUCAUUGUUGGACUGCCAGCUCACACAUGAUAAUUAUGCUUACAAUACUAAUAGUACUGGCUCGUAUAUGUUCUAGAUUUAUUGUUGUCUCUUAUUUUUAUUUUUAAGUACCAGUUUCAAGUCUCUAUACAGAAAUCAUGUCUUUUGAAUUGGUAUUGCUACUAUUUAUCGAAUGUCAUGUGCAGAAGUACAUGACCACCUAUGUGAUAAGAUCGUUGUAAUGUCACAAUUAUGUACUCCGCCAUGCAACCACAUCUUUAUUGAAAUAUAUUGCCAAAAAAAUAUGAAAAAAAUCAUAGGAUGUUAGGAGGCCAAAGGAGCACUAUAGCAAGAGGAUAGGGACAGAGGGAGUCCCUAGCCCCUAGGUACCCUCCAGCCCAGGGCGCCUAGGAGGCGUGCUUGCGCACCCUCUGACCUCUAUCAUAUCUAUCACCAUUUUUCCUCCGCCGCACAUCCGUAUGUAGUCCAUAUUGGAAUCUCUAAAAGGUCUUGUAUUUAGGAAUGGAGGGAGCAGUUGACAUCUUGAAAUUAGGACAAUUUUUUUGAGAAACAAGUAAGAUAUCUUUUAGCUCGGGCCUUAAGCUAAUCAAAGAAAAGAUCUACGACUAUUGCAUCCUUUGGAUUGUUAGGCCUCUAUAUAAAGGGGAUCCUCUAUGAGGAACAACUAAGCAGAGCAUAAGCCAAUAUUAUUCAUGGUCUCCUUGUAUGCAGCAGGCUUAGUUUAUCUUGUACUCCCUCCGUCCCAAAAUUCUUGUCUUAGAUUUGUCUAGAUACGGAUGUAUCUAACACUAAAACGUAACUAGAUACAUCCGUAUUUAGACAAAUCUAAGACAAGAAUUUUGGGAUGGAGGGAGUAUUUGUCCAGGUAAAAACAGCUGCACGUUCGACCUGAAGCUUCUCAAUUCUUUCCAGAUGCAUUAGAUAAUUGUACUGCCAUGUGUUUUUGGCUCCCAUGUAUCCUCCAAUUCAUCAGGUAUGCCUUCUUGCUGAACUAAUUAAUCACAUUUAACUAUAGCAUCUCAGUUGCAUCAUACUAGCUUUAUUCUAUGAUUUUGGCUUUCUAUGUGUAUGCCGAAAUAUGUGAUCAGAUAAGAAUAUCCAGUUGCAAAAGAAUAUGAAAUUGCCAAUUUACUUUCAAGGGUAGGCGGAGCUAAAAUAGUUUUGGUUGGCGACGUUUUUCUGUGAAUCCCUUUCACCCUAAUAGGUGACAUCCCUUCCUUUUUGUUAUCCACCCCAUGCAUCAGGCCUACCUCUGACUAGCUCCCUGCAAACAUUUUGGGCAUUUGAUAGCAAACUGGCGAAGUGGUUUUGUAUAACUAUAAUAAAUGGGGUUGAACUGGUUUUGAUAUUGUUUCUGGUACUAACCAGUAGGCUGUUACAAUUUUGUCCUUGUUCCCUCAUUUAAAGACUCAUUUUUGUCUUAUUUAGCAAGCAUCCUCUGGAAGUCGGCCAUGGUUUUGGUUCCCUACUCCUGACAGUAGUUGGGGUAGUGGCGGUUCGAAGGAUGAACUUCCAUGGAAGAUCGAAGCUUUAGUCCUUGACUCAGCUCGUGCACACCCUGGGGCUCUACGGUCAUUCGAAGUCCAUCAUGAUGAUUGCACACUUUUUACUGGGGGAGUUGGACAUGGUUUUAAAGGGUGUAUACAUCAUUGGGAGUUGUCCAACGUCUUAUUCAGAAACUGCAUGAUUUGAAUGACGGAUCAGAUGAGGCCGCUGGCCAUGGCGCAUAGGCCUGCUUACGGCGGGACAUGAAUUAGCUGAUGGCGACGCGUGCAGGCAGAGCUCGCCACCUUGAACCCAACACGAGGCGAAGCUGGAAACCGGCAUCACAGGCGCGCACGCGUCCAUGCCACGCUCCCCGAUGGCGGGUGGCACACCAAGCCGUCGUCUCCGUCCACCAUGAAGUGCCCCACCCUGUUAAGUAAAGGUGGAGAAUCCUCUUUGAAGUGUAUGGUGUUCCCUAUGUAGAAUUUUUGUUGAGCAAACAAUGUUGAGUGACUUUUUGAAUCAAGUAUGAUCUGGAUUGCACAGGAUACCGCCUGCUCUUUGUUGAAUGACUUUUUGAAUGAAGUGUGAUCUGGA
RNAcentral lists this ribosomal RNA (3225 nucleotides) under Triticum aestivum (bread wheat). Its description in RNAcentral is "partial small subunit ribosomal RNA". The stretch from base 1869 to 2003 matches the Rfam family "MIR1120/MIR1122 microRNA precursor family". Lineage: Eukaryota; Viridiplantae; Streptophyta; Magnoliopsida; Poales; Poaceae. The record is from RNAcentral.